This 1462-nucleotide ribosomal RNA is filed under the name Klebsiella quasivariicola. Its description in RNAcentral is "bacterial SSU rRNA". It matches the Rfam family "Bacterial small subunit ribosomal RNA". Lineage: Bacteria; Pseudomonadati; Pseudomonadota; Gammaproteobacteria; Enterobacterales; Enterobacteriaceae. The record is from RNAcentral.
AUUGAACGCUGGCGGCAGGCCUAACACAUGCAAGUCGAGCGGUAGCACAGAGAGCUUGCUCUCGGGUGACGAGCGGCGGACGGGUGAGUAAUGUCUGGGAAACUGCCUGAUGGAGGGGGAUAACUACUGGAAACGGUAGCUAAUACCGCAUAACGUCGCAAGACCAAAGUGGGGGACCUUCGGGCCUCAUGCCAUCAGAUGUGCCCAGAUGGGAUUAGCUAGUAGGUGGGGUAACGGCUCACCUAGGCGACGAUCCCUAGCUGGUCUGAGAGGAUGACCAGCCACACUGGAACUGAGACACGGUCCAGACUCCUACGGGAGGCAGCAGUGGGGAAUAUUGCACAAUGGGCGCAAGCCUGAUGCAGCCAUGCCGCGUGUGUGAAGAAGGCCUUCGGGUUGUAAAGCACUUUCAGCGGGGAGGAAGGCGUUAAGGUUAAUAACCUUGGCGAUUGACGUUACCCGCAGAAGAAGCACCGGCUAACUCCGUGCCAGCAGCCGCGGUAAUACGGAGGGUGCAAGCGUUAAUCGGAAUUACUGGGCGUAAAGCGCACGCAGGCGGUCUGUCAAGUCGGAUGUGAAAUCCCCGGGCUCAACCUGGGAACUGCAUUCGAAACUGGCAGGCUAGAGUCUUGUAGAGGGGGGUAGAAUUCCAGGUGUAGCGGUGAAAUGCGUAGAGAUCUGGAGGAAUACCGGUGGCGAAGGCGGCCCCCUGGACAAAGACUGACGCUCAGGUGCGAAAGCGUGGGGAGCAAACAGGAUUAGAUACCCUGGUAGUCCACGCCGUAAACGAUGUCGAUUUGGAGGUUGUGCCCUUGAGGCGUGGCUUCCGGAGCUAACGCGUUAAAUCGACCGCCUGGGGAGUACGGCCGCAAGGUUAAAACUCAAAUGAAUUGACGGGGGCCCGCACAAGCGGUGGAGCAUGUGGUUUAAUUCGAUGCAACGCGAAGAACCUUACCUGGUCUUGACAUCCACAGAACUUUCCAGAGAUGGAUUGGUGCCUUCGGGAACUGUGAGACAGGUGCUGCAUGGCUGUCGUCAGCUCGUGUUGUGAAAUGUUGGGUUAAGUCCCGCAACGAGCGCAACCCUUAUCCUUUGUUGCCAGCGGUUAGGCCGGGAACUCAAAGGAGACUGCCAGUGAUAAACUGGAGGAAGGUGGGGAUGACGUCAAGUCAUCAUGGCCCUUACGACCAGGGCUACACACGUGCUACAAUGGCAUAUACAAAGAGAAGCGACCUCGCGAGAGCAAGCGGACCUCAUAAAGUAUGUCGUAGUCCGGAUUGGAGUCUGCAACUCGACUCCAUGAAGUCGGAAUCGCUAGUAAUCGUAGAUCAGAAUGCUACGGUGAAUACGUUCCCGGGCCUUGUACACACCGCCCGUCACACCAUGGGAGUGGGUUGCAAAAGAAGUAGGUAGCUUAACCUUCGGGAGGGCGCUUACCACUUUGUGAUUCAUGACUGGGGUG